Molecule: ribosomal RNA, 253 nt
Filed under: uncultured bacterium
Lineage: Bacteria
Description: partial 16S ribosomal RNA
Rfam family: Bacterial small subunit ribosomal RNA
Source: RNAcentral
UACGUAGGCAGCAAGCGUUGUUCGGAGUUACUGGGCGUAAAGGGUGUGUAGGCGGUCCUCUAAGUUUGGUGUGAAAUCUCCCGGCUCAACUGGGAGGGUGCGCCGAAAACUGGGGGGCUAGAGUGCGGGAUGGGAGAGUAGAAUUCCUGGUGUAGCGGUGAAAUGCGUAGAUAUCAGGAGGAAUACCUGUGGUGUAGACGGCUCUCUGGACCGUAACUGACGCUGAGACACGAAAGCGUGGGUAGCAAACAGG